Equus caballus (horse) is the source of this 1986-nucleotide long non-coding RNA. NCBI's taxonomy places the organism in Eukaryota, Metazoa, Chordata, Mammalia, Perissodactyla, Equidae. The record is from Ensembl.
AAUGAGAGACAGCCCCUUUACUCCACAGCCUGCCGAAAUUAUUCAAACCAGCCAAUCUUUAAACCUCCCUACAGCUGCUCUGCCUGUUCUUUCCUGUAGAAACCACAGUAAAGUCUCUUGCCUCCAGUUCUCUCCCUUCCUUCUGCCUCGUGGCUGAUCUCAGGGCUUCCCUGUGUGGCCCCUCCUGCAGUGGCUUGUCUCCUCCUCUUGGGAACUGGCUCCCUUGGCCUUUGGAAGGGCUGGUGGAGCUUCUUUGCCUGCUGAUGCAGAGAGCCAGAGUAACUGACACACGUGGGAAUAGGUGAGCCCAACUGCAUGCCCACAGGACAAGGCUGAAGAUUGGCCCUGAGCUAACGUCCAUGCUCAUCUUCCUCUGUAUGUGGGACACCUGCCACAGCAUGGCUUGACAAGCCGUGCCAUGUCCGCACCCGGGAUCUGAACCGGAGAACCGUGGGCCACUGCAGUGGACCAUGCAAACUUAACUGCUGCACCACCGGGCCAGCCCCUAAUUUUCCAUUUUGUAAGACCGUGAAAAAGCUUGAGUAACCACUUGUGUUUACAUCUUCUUUUAUAAUUAGCAGGGAAGUGCCUCAAAAGAGACAUUUGCCUCUGUUUGGAGCAGCUUUGAUGAGUGUAAGAUCGUGAAGGUUUGUACUGCUAUUUGUUACCAAACAAUCAUCGAGAAACUUCAGUGUGCGUGAUUAUGGUGUUUGAAUUUUUUCUCAUCUUUCAGGACCAAUUGCUUACUUUAUAAAAUUUCAUUUUUGUUUGUAUUUUGCUUUGUGAUUUUUUAGUAAGGGCAUAUUUAUUUUACUUUUAAAGUGUUUACCUUUCUAUAUAUUAGCAUUGUUUUAAAAUAUUACAUCAAAGUUCCUGGUUUUUAUUGUUUUGUAUUACUGUAUUUCACAUCCACUUUUCCAUUAGUUUUUUGCUACCUGUUAAUUUUAUGAUGUUUAAAAUUUUUCAUAGCCUCUUUUGUGAUUGUUAAUUCUCUUAUUCUUAAUCUUCUAGUUUCUUCAAUAUGUCAAGCAUUUAAUUUUUUAAAUUUCACAUAUUUUUUCAAAUCGGAAAAUUUCUUCUCCCAUGUUUGCAUUAUGGUUCUUCAUUUACUUGUUAAAAGGAAAUAUCUGUCUUUAACGAGUUAACUCCAAAAGAGUAGAAAGUUUUAUCUCUCUGCGGUAGGCAGAAUAGUGCUCUUUCAAAGAUACCUACGCCCCACUUCCUGGAAUCUGUGAACAUGUUACUUUAUGGCAAAAGAGACUUGCAGAUGUGAUUAACAUUAUGGACCCUAAAAUAUCCUAGAUUAUCCAGGUGGGCACAAUCUAAUCACCUCACUCUUUAAAAGUGGAAGAGGAAAGCAAAAGCGUGGGUCAGAGAGAAAAGAAGAAAGAAGGAGAGAGUGGAAGCCUGAAAGGGACUCGGGCUGCCCUCGCUGGCUUCUAUGAAGGAGGAAGGGAAGCGGGAGCCAAGGAAUGAUGGGGGUGCUUCUAGAAGCUGGGAACAGCCUUCCGUUGGCAGCCAGCAAGAAUAUGGCGAUCUUUGUCAUAGGAUCUCAAGAAGUGAAUUCUGCUGACAGCCCAGAUGAGGAAGAAAUGGAUCCUUCUCUAGGACCUCCAGAAAGGAACACAGCUGGCCAAACCUUUGAUUUGAGCCUGUUGAGACCAGUGUUGGAUCUUUGUCCUACAGAAAUAUAGAAUAACAAAUUUGUGUUGUUUCAAGCCAGUGAAUUUGUGGUCAUCUCUUAUGGAGGCAAUAGAAAACUAACGCACUCUCUAGUAUUUUAUUUUCAUUUUCAUCUCUGUCAUACACAUAGUACAAAAUAAAAUAAUUCAGAGACUUGUAAUGAAAAACACCUUCCAAACCCCCAUCUUGCAGUAUAUGCCUCACCAUGUUUAGUUCCAAUUCCCAAGAGUUAAAUGCUUUUGACAUUUUCUGUUAUUUUCUCCUGAGUAUGGAAAACCUGUUUUGUUUUUUUUCCUAAGGUGG